AACGCGAAGAACCUUACCUACUCUUGACAUCCAGAGAACUUAGCAGAGAUGCUUUGGUGCCUUCGGGAACUCUGAGACAGGUGCUGCAUGGCUGUCGUCAGCUCGUGUUGUGAAAUGUUGGGUUAAGUCCCGCAACGAGCGCAACCCUUAUCCUUUGUUGCCAGCGAUUCGGUCGGGAACUCAAAGGAGACUGCCGGUGAUAAACCGGAGGAAGGUGGGGAUGACGUCAAGUCAUCAUGGCCCUUACGAGUAGGGCUACACACGUGCUACAAUGGCGCAUACAAAGAGAAGCGACCUCGCGAGAGCAAGCGGACCUCAUAAAGUGCGUCGUAGUCCGGAUCGGAGUCUGCAACUCGACUCCGUGAAGUCGGAAUCGCUAGUAAUCGUGGAUCAGAAUGCCACGGUGAAUACGUUCCCGGGUCUUGUACACACCG
This 434-nucleotide ribosomal RNA is filed under the name Pantoea ananatis. RNAcentral describes it as "bacterial SSU rRNA". It matches the Rfam family "Bacterial small subunit ribosomal RNA", at positions 958 to 1392 of the family's 1533-position model. The record is from RNAcentral. Lineage: Bacteria; Pseudomonadati; Pseudomonadota; Gammaproteobacteria; Enterobacterales; Erwiniaceae.